ACCCGGUCAGGUCCGGAAGGAAGCAGCCGUAACGAGUUUCGGCCCGGGUCGACGUUCAGCCUCCCACUU
This 69-nucleotide signal recognition particle RNA is filed under the name Rhodospirillales bacterium RIFCSPLOWO2_12_FULL_67_15. RNAcentral describes it as "partial signal recognition particle sRNA small type". It matches the Rfam family "Bacterial small signal recognition particle RNA", at positions 31 to 97 of the family's 97-position model. Rfam says of the family: The signal recognition particle (SRP) is a universally conserved ribonucleoprotein involved in the co-translational targeting of proteins to membranes. Archaeal SRP consists of a 7S RNA and homologues of the eukaryotic SRP19 and SRP54 proteins. Lineage: Bacteria; Pseudomonadati; Pseudomonadota; Alphaproteobacteria; Rhodospirillales. The record is from RNAcentral.